GCCCCCAUUUAAGGGGGUUCCCACGGGGGGGGAGGGGCGGCCCGCGGGUGUUUGGGAGGUUUUUUUUUUGGGGGGGCGCGAUGGGGACCCCGAGGGCCCUCCUGCCCCUCCCCCUCCUGCUGCUCGUGACCCUCGGCUGUGACGUCACGCCCCGGGACCCCCCCACGGAUGGGACCUCUGAGAUGUCGGAGACCGAGUUGGUGUGCGGCCGGCCGGCCCUCCCCCUCUGGUGCGGAACGGGGG
This is a long non-coding RNA of Myiozetetes cayanensis, 243 nucleotides long. RefSeq lists it as uncharacterized. The record is from RefSeq and is a predicted model, not a curated record. NCBI's taxonomy places the organism in Eukaryota, Metazoa, Chordata, Aves, Passeriformes, Tyrannidae. The transcript is spliced from 3 exons.